GCUACCAGGACCAAGGUCAGCAGCAGGCGCGAAAAUUAUCGAAGCCCGCCUAGGGGCGAUAGUGAGGAGACGUGUAUAACGAAGUACGUGUAAAGAACGUACUAAUAACUGGAGGUCAAGUCUGGUGCCAGCAUCCGCGGUAAUUCCAGCUCCAGGGGUGUCUAUGAUGAUUGCUGCGAUUAAAAAGUCCGUAGUCAAACUGACUGACUGACCUGCAAUGUGAUUGAUUAAAGAACGAGCAGGGUUAGGAAAGCAGAGAAUUAGGAGCGACCGAGGGCUAGAGUAUUGAAUGGCGAGAGGUGAAAUUUGAUGACCCAUUCAGGAGUGACAAAGGCGAAGGCACUAGUCAAGGGCGAAUCCGAUGAUCAAGGACGUAGGCUAGAGUUUCGAAAACGAUUAGAGACCGGAGUAGUUCUAGCAGUAAACUAUGCCGACGCCGUGAUAUUGUUUUUUGUGGCAGUAUUGCGGAAGAGAAAUCAAGUAAGGCUUUGGGGAGAGUACGCGCGCAAGCGAUAAAUUUAAAGGAAAUGACGGAGGAACACCACAA
RNAcentral lists this ribosomal RNA (547 nucleotides) under Dictyocoela sp. 30. RNAcentral's name for it is "partial small subunit ribosomal RNA". It matches the Rfam family "Microsporidia small subunit ribosomal RNA", at positions 265 to 806 of the family's 1311-position model. The record is from RNAcentral. Lineage: Eukaryota; Fungi; Microsporidia.